RNAcentral lists this ribosomal RNA (381 nucleotides) under uncultured bacterium. Its description in RNAcentral is "partial 16S ribosomal RNA". It matches the Rfam family "Bacterial small subunit ribosomal RNA", at positions 338 to 733 of the family's 1533-position model. The record is from RNAcentral.
ACUACGGGAGGCAGCAGUGGGGAAUAUUGCGCAAUGGGCGCAAGCCUGACGCAGCAACGCCGCGUGAAGGAAGAAGGCUUUCGGGUUGUAAACUUCUUUUGUCAGGGACGAAACAAAUGACGGUACCUGACUAAGAAGCCGCGGCUAACUUGGUUCCAGCAGCCGCAGUAAUACGUAGGGGGCAAGCAUUAUGCGGAAUUACUGGGAGUAAAGGGCGCGUCGGGGUGAUGGCAAGUCAGAGGUGACAACCAGGGGCUCAACCUGUGGACUGCAUUUGAUACUGUAGUUGUGGAGUGCUGGAGAGGGAGAUGGAAUUCUUAGUGUAGCGGUGAAAUGCGUAGAGAUGAGGAGGAACACUAGUGGCGAAGGCGGUCUGCUGGA